GAAACGGCAUUAAGGAUCCACAAGCAGCAGGAAAGCAGAUGGAUGAUAAGACCAAGCAAAACAACGAUGGUCAUCCCUCAGAAAGCACUUCCCCAUCAAACACUGCCCUGAUGGAGGUGGGUGGAGAUGUUACAGAUGCUUCAGCUUCAAACCAGGUGUUAUCUAAAAACAAUGCUGGAGGAGAUUUGCCACCAGAGACCCAAACAGAAAACCCCUCAGUAAGCUUGGUGGAAGCUGAUGGGGCUGGUCAGCCCAUGCCAGGCACUGGGAUGGAGCAGGCAGACAGCUGGGCAAGCCUCCAGCCAAGCGCAAAGAGCGGCUCCAUUGCUUUCUCUACUGCUAACAUGGGCACAGGGAUAAUGUUUGUGAGCAGUAGUUCGGCCACUACUCUCAGAGACCGACUCAGAUGGACCAGCGGGGCCAUCUCAGAAGACCAGGACAAGGAAUGCCCAGCUGAUGGCUUGGAGAGCUACGGGCUGGCGCAGGAGCCAGAAACCCAGCUGAGCAAGAGCGGGGUUGACCCUGGCAGCACUCAAUCUGCUCUCUGUGAGGCUCAUCAAGCAGAGUCAAAAGAGAUGGCGAAGGAAAAUGAAGACCCUGGUGCAGACUCGCUGUUGGACACCUCUCAAGAGAAGUCCUUCUCGGAGGAGCCAGCCACUGACUCCUCUUGUUCAGCAACAGUUCCCCCAGAGCAAACUCACACCGACAGAGAAAAGCAGAGGUCAUCUGGGAAAAGGAGGAAGAAGAAGAGGCACAGCAAAAGCUACUCAGGUGUCACAGCAAGGCAGAAGAAAUAACAGAGACCCAGCGAACCACUCACGUGUCCUCAGAGCGCUGCCAGCUUCUCAGAAGCCAGGUUCUGCAUCGCCAAAACACCACCGUGGUCACCUCUGCCCAACAGGACUCACUGCUUCUCUUCAUGCAGCCUUUCGUUCCCUCUCCAAGACCCAGAGAGCCUUCCUGGUGACUUUGGACCCCUUAGCUUGUGCCUCAUGCUGGGCGCUCACAGGGCUGGGGGCCGGUUCUGUGCAUGGUGGCGUGAAAGGGUCAGACCUCUCAUCUGCUGUCCUGGAAACUAAAUCUUUCAACCUGCUCUUAGGCCAAACUCCACUUGGAACGACAGCUGAGUGUGGCCCAAGAAAGGACCUCAGUGUUUAGCCUUCAGAGAAAUAUCAAAAAUAGCAGUGCCUCAACUACAGUAAGGGUAUAAAUUAAGCAGUGUCUGUACCAUCACAGGUAGAAGCAUGUUAACUCCCCCUUCUCAUCGCCUACUGACGAUUUAUCUGGGACCAGAUCCAAGACCUAAGUAUUGGUCUUGGAUCAGACAAAGUAUUUUUACUCUCAACCAUUUAAAGCCAGGGAAAUUGGUUACAGGGAAAAAAAAGUGGAAAAAAAAAAAAAAAGUAUGUAUUUUAGUAAGCAUAUGGCCAUAUAAACAGUGUCUGGUUCUACAUGAUGCUUAUGUGCAAUUAAGCUGAAGCACAUCGGUAGUCUUGCAGUCUACUCACACAGAUGCAUCCAUCAACUUUCAGAGAUCCAGGGCCUCAGUUCCUCUUAUUAAAGCAACAGAGGUUUUCCAGAGUGCUUUAUCAGACACAUUUCAGCUCAUCCUUUAGUAAAUCUCUGGGUUUGAAUUCUGUUGUCAGCUGCUUGCACUCAAUAUUCUUUAUGUCCAAGUUGUAGAAUGUGUAGAUUCAUGUUACUUUUGCUUUAAAACUGGGAAUGUGCAGUAUUGUGUUUUCAAAAUUCAGAGAUUUAUUUCUUAAGUUUUGUAAUAACAUUGUAUCAUAGUUUUGUACAUAGCUGUCAAUUUAAAAUGAUCUAUGUUUGUUGAAUCUAUAGUGUGAUACUGUGCUGAAACAUGAAUCAAGUGGAAGAGCUGGGUACAUUUAAGAACUAUGCCUUUAUAUGGUAACUCACUGUGGCUAGACUAAUGUUCAGGCUAAAGCUUAUUUUGCCUUGCAUAACAGGACUUGUCCUUGUAAUAUUGAAAACUUUGCUGGACUAAGUUGGAAGUUAAAUCAAGAAUUAAAUCACUGGUUUAUUUUAACCAAUGCAUUGCCAUUAACAUAUUGAGAAUCAGUUAAAAGCAGAGAUGCGUUGAGAGCAGACACAUGGGCAGCUUCAGUUCAGGAGACCCCACAGAGUGGCACAGCCCUUUGGCAACUGAAAUCCCAUUCCUGGCUGGAAGAAGCAGGCAGAGCCCCACCGUUUCCUGGAGAAUCACAUAACCCACCCCAGGUUUGACUUGCAGGACUGGCUCUAUCACAUUUACAGGUUUUCCCAUUUCUUUUUUCCUCUUUUUGUGUCUCAGAGCACGUCACCCAAGCAUCAUCCUUUUGCUCUUUAACCUGGCUUCUCUGCUCUCAGAUCAGACCCCAGGCUUCAAAAUCUGAGUAUUAAACACAUUUUCCCAGCAGCUUCGCAACCUCUGUGUUUCCAGCAAGAGCCUGCAGCCCAGGCUAGCAGUGAGCAGCCAACCUCCUCCUCCCCACCCCACUGUUCUGUCAAUAAGAACAUCAUUUGGCGAUUCAAGACUAGGGAACAAACAGGCUUUCUGGGUGUUACCUAGGGAACCUUACCUGCUAAUGCUUUGCAGGCUGCUCUCUUUGGCAGGUGUCCACUUUUCUGUCUGCGUCUUUCAGCUAUCCCCCAUUUCUGCCUAGAGAGAGCAGCUCUUUUCACACAGCCAGAAAUUUUAUUACUGUGUUCUUACCUUGGCCAUCAAAGAGAGGGUGCUUGGCAUUAGCUUUCCACUGCCCUCAAGAGUUUAUAAAAAAAAUGGGUUAUUUUGAGCCACUGGCGGUUAUUUGUUCCAUAGUCAUCUGUGAAAACUAUGUUAAAUUAUCUCUUCAAUCAUAUCCCAAUAUGCGAGCUGAGGCACAGCAUUUGUACUUUACUACUCCAGAGCAGCUCUGCUUCCAUUACAGCGACAAAGAAGAACAGAGGGACAGAACCAAAGCAGGUCAAACAAAGAUGUUCAACUGGGAUGUGCAGGUUUGCUCCAUUUUUAUCUUAAAAUAAAGCUCACGAUCCUGAAGAUUUUUCAUGUUUGCAAGGCUAAAUUAAUUGCUGGUAAAAAGAAUGUUACUUGCAGCUACCUGAACAGGUCUGUGGUCAUUUAAGUCGAUAAUGAGUUUGGACCUCAAAAAAGAAUUUUUCUGGUACAUUACAGCAACUGCACAUGGAGUCCAGUAUGUAAACUAGGCUGUGAAUGCCACAAGUUUCUAGCUGCCAAAUAACUGCAUAUUCCUUAACUAAGCAUUGACUAUAUGAUAAAAUGAAGUUAUGAAAGAGAUCAGCAUAAGUCUUUUCCAAGUAUUUCACAUCAGAAUUCAGAUAUGUUUAAUGAGAUGGAUUUUUAGGGUUAGUUUUCUGGGGGUUUUGUUUUUAUUUUGUGUUUUGCUGGGGGGUUUAGUGGGGUUUUUUUGUUUAAUUUCAAUACUGAAAAUUGGUCAAAGUUUAGAAUAAAAUAAGUACUUGAUAAAUUUCCUUUCUCUUGUGGGAAUGGGGAAGACCUAUAACUCACCAGAAUUUGUCCAUCAAAGUCCUAUAUUUUCCACAUAGUUUAUAAGGCACCUAAGCAUAUAAUUGUUGUAUAUGCUUAGCAAUAAUUACCCAUUGUUUUCUCUCAAAGAAACAGAGAUGUAUAAAUGGAGCUAUACCUAGUACAUGAAAACUACCAGUGUUGCACUGUACUUAAAGCACAGCUAAAAUUUGUGUCCAAAGGUAUGCCAAUAUCUUUUAGUUUGAACGUAUUGUUUGGUCCUCUCCUACAUUCGGUAGGGAAUGUAUUUCUCAGAGCUAAGAAAUACCUUCUGUUCUGCUUAGAAGGAAAGAGGAUAAAUUAAAAUAAAAAUGCAUGAGCCCAUU
Strigops habroptila (Kakapo) is the source of this 3873-nucleotide long non-coding RNA. The record is from Ensembl. Lineage: Eukaryota; Metazoa; Chordata; Aves; Psittaciformes; Psittacidae.